AGCUAAGUGGCGCAGCGGAAGCGCGCCGGGCUCAUAACCCGGAGGACAACGGAUCGAAACCGUUCUUAGCUA
Molecule: transfer RNA, 72 nt
Filed under: Pleomassaria siparia CBS 279.74
Lineage: Eukaryota; Fungi; Ascomycota; Dothideomycetes; Pleosporales; Pleomassariaceae
Also listed under: 1 other name
Rfam family: tRNA
About the family: Transfer RNA (tRNA) molecules are approximately 80 nucleotides in length. Their secondary structure includes four short double-helical elements and three loops (D, anti-codon, and T loops). Further hydrogen bonds mediate the characteristic L-shaped molecular structure. tRNAs have two regions of fundamental functional importance: the anti-codon, which is responsible for specific mRNA codon recognition, and the 3' end, to which the tRNAs corresponding amino acid is attached (by aminoacyl-tRNA synthetases). tRNAs cope with the degeneracy of the genetic code in two manners: having more than one tRNA (with a specific anti-codon) for a particular amino acid; and 'wobble' base-pairing, i.e. permitting non-standard base-pairing at the 3rd anti-codon position.
Source: Rfam by way of RNAcentral